UACGUAGGUGCCAAGCGUUGUCCGGAUUUAUUGGGCGUAAAGAGCUCGUAGGCGGCUCGUUGCGUCGGCUGUGAAAACCCGCGGCUCAACUGUGGGCUUGCAGCCGAUACGGGCGGGCUGGAGUUCGGUAGGGGAGACUGGAAUUCCUGGUGUAGCGGUGAAAUGCGCAGAUAUCAGGAGGAACACCGGUGGCGAAGGCGGGUCUCUGGGCCGAUACUGACGCUGAGGAGCGAAAGCGUGGGGAGCGAACAGG
This 253-nucleotide ribosomal RNA is filed under the name uncultured bacterium. Its description in RNAcentral is "partial 16S ribosomal RNA". It matches the Rfam family "Bacterial small subunit ribosomal RNA", at positions 524 to 776 of the family's 1533-position model. The record is from RNAcentral.